GAACGCUGGCGGUCUGCUUAACACAUGCAAGUCGAACGGAGUAGAAAUACUUAGUGGCGACGGGUGAGUAACGCGUGAGAAUCUGCCUUCAGGACGGAGACAACAGUUGGAAACGACUGCUAAGCCCCGAUGAACCGAAAGGGAAAAUAUUUAUAGCCUGAAGAGGAGCUCGCGUCCGAUUAGCUAGUUGGCGGAGUAAAAGCCCACCAAGGCGACGAUCGGUAGCUGGUCUGAGAGGACGAUCAGCCACACUGGGACUGAGACACGGCCCAGACUCCUACGGGAGGCAGCAGUGGGGGAAUAUUGGGCAAUGGGCGCAAGCCUGACCCAGCAACGCCGCGUGAAGGAAGAAGGCUUUCGGGUUGUAAACUUCUUUUAAGAGGGAAGAGCAGAAGACGGUACCUCUAGAAUAAGCCACGGCUAACUACGUG
RNAcentral lists this ribosomal RNA (431 nucleotides) under uncultured bacterium. RNAcentral describes it as "bacterial SSU rRNA". It matches the Rfam family "Bacterial small subunit ribosomal RNA", at positions 31 to 507 of the family's 1533-position model. The record is from RNAcentral.